This 76-nucleotide transfer RNA is filed under the name Oscillospiraceae bacterium. Its description in RNAcentral is "tRNA-Thr". It matches the Rfam family "tRNA". From Rfam's summary of the family: Transfer RNA (tRNA) molecules are approximately 80 nucleotides in length. Their secondary structure includes four short double-helical elements and three loops (D, anti-codon, and T loops). Further hydrogen bonds mediate the characteristic L-shaped molecular structure. tRNAs have two regions of fundamental functional importance: the anti-codon, which is responsible for specific mRNA codon recognition, and the 3' end, to which the tRNAs corresponding amino acid is attached (by aminoacyl-tRNA synthetases). tRNAs cope with the degeneracy of the genetic code in two manners: having more than one tRNA (with a specific anti-codon) for a particular amino acid; and 'wobble' base-pairing, i.e. permitting non-standard base-pairing at the 3rd anti-codon position. The record is from RNAcentral. Lineage: Bacteria; Bacillati; Bacillota; Clostridia; Eubacteriales; Oscillospiraceae.
GCUAGUGUAGCACAGUCGGUAGUGCAGCUGAUUCGUAAUCAGCAGGUCGCGUGUUCGAGUCACGUCACUAGCUCCA